GGUUUGACCAACAAAUCAUCUUUAUUGGUGCCAUUAGAACACCAAUCAAUUAAACUAUCGCCGGAUGGAUCGUUAAAUGCUUCAGCUAACAAAUAUUCCUCCGCGAUAGUUUCAACCCAAUCAACCUCCUUACUCUCUUCGGGAUCAUUAGGUUGUUUGCACACAUUAAAAAUGUUCAGUUCUAAGGUCAUGUUACCAAAAGAAAGCUUCAUGAUGCCAUUCCUACAAUUAAUCAAUGCAUUAGAAGUUGCAAGGAAUGGACGUCCUAAAAUGACCGGAAUCUGAGACUAUGAGUUCGAAGCUGGAUGUGUGUCCAAUACGAUAAAAUCGACAGGAAAGUAGAACUUGUCUACUUGGACUAAUACAUCCUCGACAAUCCCCCUUGGAAUUUUAACUGACCUGUCAGUUAAUUGCAAAGUGACGGAGGUUGGCUUCAACUCAUCUAAACCAAGUUGCUCAUAUACAGAAUAUGGCAACAAAUUCACACUUGCCCCUAAAUCUAACAAUGCUCGCUCUAUCCUAAAGUCGCCUAUGAUGCAUGAAAUGGUUGGGCAACCUGGAUCUUUAUAUUUAGGGAGAAUGUUGUGCUGCAAAAUAGCACUCACAU
RNAcentral lists this long non-coding RNA (607 nucleotides) under Phoenix dactylifera (date palm). RNAcentral describes it as "long non-coding RNA (PDAC_LNC003299)". The record is from RNAcentral. Lineage: Eukaryota; Viridiplantae; Streptophyta; Magnoliopsida; Arecales; Arecaceae.